This 374-nucleotide ribosomal RNA is filed under the name uncultured bacterium. Its description in RNAcentral is "bacterial SSU rRNA". It matches the Rfam family "Bacterial small subunit ribosomal RNA", at positions 28 to 404 of the family's 1533-position model. The record is from RNAcentral.
GACGAACGCUGGCGGCGUGCCUAACACAUGCAAGUCGAACGGGAUCCGCAAGGAUUCAGUGGCGCACGGGUGCGUAACACGUGAGGAACAUAGCCAUCGGCGGGGGAUAGCCGGCCCAACGGCCGGGUAAUACCGCGUACGAUCUUCGGGGGGCAUCCUCUGGAGAUGAAAGCAGCAAUGCGCCGAUGGGGUGCCUCGCGGCCUAUCAGCUAGUUGGUGAGGUAAGGCUCACCAAGGCUACGACGGGUAGCUGGCCCGAGAGGAUGACCAGCCACAUUGGGACUGAGACACGGCCCAGACUCCGUACGGGAGGCAGCAGUGGGGAAUAUUGGCGACAAGUACGGGGGAAACCCUGACGCAGCGACGCCGCGUGU